Molecule: transfer RNA, 87 nt
Filed under: Candidatus Spechtbacteria bacterium RIFCSPHIGHO2_01_FULL_43_30
Lineage: Bacteria; Candidatus Spechtiibacteriota
Also listed under: 1 other name
Description: tRNA-Leu
Rfam family: tRNA
About the family: Transfer RNA (tRNA) molecules are approximately 80 nucleotides in length.
Source: RNAcentral
GCGGACGUGGCGGAACUGGCAUACGCGCUACCUUGAGGUGGUAGUGGGAGUAAUCCCUUGGAGGUUCAAGUCCUCUCGUCCGCACCA